This 790-nucleotide ribosomal RNA is filed under the name uncultured archaeon. Its description in RNAcentral is "bacterial SSU rRNA". It matches the Rfam family "Archaeal small subunit ribosomal RNA", at positions 85 to 876 of the family's 1478-position model. The record is from RNAcentral.
ACGGCUCAGUAACACGUGGACAACCUACCCUUGGGACGGGGAUAAACCCGGGAAACUGGGUAUAAUACCCGAUAGUUCUGGGAAGCUGGAAUGCUUCCAGGACGAAAGCUCCGGCGCCCAAGGAUGGGUCUGCGGCCUAUCAGGUAGUAGUGGGUGUAAUGUACCUACUAGCCUACGACGGGUACGGGUUGUGAGAGCAAGAGCCCGGAGAUGGAUUCUGAGACACGAAUCCAGGCCCUACGGGGUGCAGCAGGCGCGAAAACUUUACAAUGCUGGCAACAGCGAUAAGGGGACCUCGAGUGCCAGGAUACAAUCUUGGCUGUCGUAAUGCCUAAAAAGCAUUUCAUAGCAAGGGCCGGGCAAGACCGGUGCCAGCCGCCGCGGUAACACCGGCGGCUCGAGUGGUAACCGCUAUUAUUGGGUCUAAAGGGUCUGUAGCCGGCCGGAUAAGUCUUUUGGGAAAUCCAGCUGCUCAACAGUUGGGCUUUCAGAAGAUACUGUUCGGCUCGAGACCGGGAGAGGUGAGAGGUACUUCAGGGGUAGGGGUGAAAUCUUGUAAUCCUUGAAGGACCACCAGUGGCGAAGGCGUCUCACCAGAACGGAUCUGACGGCAAGGGACGAAAGCUAGGGGCACGAACCGGAUUAGAUACCCGGGUAGUCCUAGCCGUAAACGAUACUCGCUAGGUGUCAGCCACGGUGCGACCGUGGUUGGUGCCGUAGGGAAGCCGUGAAGCGAGCCACCUGGGAAGUACGGCCGCAAGGCUGAAACUUAAAGGAAUUGGCGGGGGAG